GAAGGCGGCCCCUGGACAAGACUGACGCUCAGGUGCGAAGCGUGGGGAGCAAACAGGAUAGAUACCUGGUAGUCACGCUGUAAACGAUGUCGAUUUGGAGGUUGUUCCCUGAGGAGUGGCUUCCGGAGCUAACGCGUUAAAUCGACCGCUGGGGAGUACGGCCGCAAGGUCAAAACUCAAAUGAAUUGACGGGGGCCCGCACAGCGGUGGAGCAUGUGGUUUAAUUCGAUGCAACGCGAAGAACCUUACCUACUCUUGACAUCCAGAGAAUUUAGCAGAGAUGCUUUAGUGCCUUCGGGAACUCUGAGACAGGUGCUGCAUGGCUGUCGUCAGCUCGUGUUGUGAAAUGUUGGGUUAAGUCCCGCAACGAGCGCAACCCUUAUCCUUUGUUGCCAGCACAUUAUGGUGGGAACUCAAAGGAGACUGCCGGUGAUAAACCGGAGGAAGGUGGGGAUGACGUCAAGUCAUCAUGGCCCUUACGAGUAGGGCUACACACGUGCUACAAUGGCGUAUACAAAGAGAAGCGACCUCGCGAGAGCAAGCGGAACUCAUAAAGUACGUCGUAGUCCGGAUUGGAGUCUGCAACUCGACUCCAUGAAGUCGGAAUCGCUAGUAAUCGUAGAUCAGAAUGCUACGGUGAAUACGUUCCCGGGCCUUGUACACACCGCCCGUCACACCAUGGGAGUGGGUUGCAAAAGAAGUAGGUAGCUUAACCUUCGGGAGGGCGCUUACCACUUUGUGAUUCAUGACUGGGGUGAAGUCGUAACAAGGUAACCA
This 777-nucleotide ribosomal RNA is filed under the name uncultured Providencia sp. RNAcentral describes it as "bacterial SSU rRNA". It matches the Rfam family "Bacterial small subunit ribosomal RNA", at positions 717 to 1502 of the family's 1533-position model. Lineage: Bacteria; Pseudomonadati; Pseudomonadota; Gammaproteobacteria; Enterobacterales; Morganellaceae. The record is from RNAcentral.